Molecule: unclassified non-coding RNA, 463 nt
Filed under: Hevea brasiliensis (rubber tree)
Lineage: Eukaryota; Viridiplantae; Streptophyta; Magnoliopsida; Malpighiales; Euphorbiaceae
Source: RNAcentral
ACCUCCGGUGCCAUAAACAUAGGCGUGCCGCCAAUUGGCGUUGCUGCCUCAGCCGCAUCCUCCACCGAGUCCACUCUUUUGGCACACCCAAAAUCAGCAAUUUUGGCGCCAGUUUGUCCUAUUAAAACGUUCCUACCUUUGAUGUCACAAUGAACCCAACCGUUUGAAUGUAGAUAAUCUAGACCUUGAACAAUAUGACCUGUGUAGUAUCCGAUCACCGAUUCUUCCAGCCGGCCACCUUGAGCGUGAACUGCAUCGGUAAGUGUACCGCCGGGAAUGUACUCCAAGAAAAGAUUGUACAUAAGCUUGUUAUUCUCUCUAGUAAUGUCAAAGCCCAUGUAGCCAACUAUAUGAGGAGAGCUUAAAGAAGACAGAAUCUUUUGCUCUCUUUGCAAGAACUGGGAUUGGUCAAGCUCGGCAGACUUGACAGCAAAAACGUCACAGGAGAGGAGAGAGGUGGCGA